This 119-nucleotide ribosomal RNA is filed under the name Pteropus alecto (black flying fox). The record is from RNAcentral. Lineage: Eukaryota; Metazoa; Chordata; Mammalia; Chiroptera; Pteropodidae.
GUCUAUGGCCAUGCCACCCUGAACACGCCCGAUCCCGUCUGAUCUCAGAAGCUAAGCAGGGUCGGGCCUGGUUAGUACUUGGAUGGGAGACCACCUAGGAAGACUGGGUGCUGUAGGUG